UGCUGACGGUCGUCUGCACACUUGGGC
Molecule: non-coding RNA, 27 nt
Filed under: Homo sapiens (human)
Lineage: Eukaryota; Metazoa; Chordata; Mammalia; Primates; Hominidae
Source: RNAcentral